GAUGAACGCUGGCGGCGUGCCUAAUACAUGCAAGUCGAGCGAACGGACGAUAAGCUUGCUUCUCUGAUGUUAGCGGCGGACGGGUGAGUAACACGUGGAUAACCUACCUAUAAGACUGGGAUAACUUCGGGAAACCGUAGCUAAUACCGGAUAAUAUUUUGAACCUCAUGGUUCAAAAGUUAAAUACGGUUUUGCUGUCACUUAUAGAUGGAUCCGCGCUGCAUUAGCUAGUUGGUAAGGUAACGGCUUACCAAGGCAACGAUGCAUAGCCGACCUGAGAGGGUGAUCGGCCACACUGGAACUGAGACACGGUCCAGACUCCUACGGGAGGCAGCAGUAGGGACUCUUCCGCAAUGGGCGAAAGCCUGACGGAGCAACGCAGCGUGAGUGAUGAAGGUCUUCGGAUCGUAAAACUCUGUUAUUAGGGAAGAACAUAUGUGUAAGUAACUAUGCACAUCUUGACGGUACCUAAUCAGAAAGCCACGGCUAACUACGUG
This 497-nucleotide ribosomal RNA is filed under the name uncultured bacterium. RNAcentral's name for it is "partial 16S ribosomal RNA". It matches the Rfam family "Bacterial small subunit ribosomal RNA", at positions 28 to 507 of the family's 1533-position model. The record is from RNAcentral.